Non-coding RNA from Parelaphostrongylus tenuis, 71 nucleotides. NCBI's taxonomy places the organism in Eukaryota, Metazoa, Nematoda, Chromadorea, Rhabditida, Metastrongylidae. The record is from the annotation of a GenBank genome assembly.
GAGGUGGUGUAGUGGUAUUAGCACGCGUCCCCAGCAUGGAUGAAACGCGGGUUCGAUUCCCCACUGAAGCC